RNAcentral lists this ribosomal RNA (403 nucleotides) under uncultured Bacillota bacterium. RNAcentral's name for it is "bacterial SSU rRNA". It matches the Rfam family "Bacterial small subunit ribosomal RNA", at positions 378 to 774 of the family's 1533-position model. The record is from RNAcentral. Lineage: Bacteria; Bacillati; Bacillota.
AAAGUCUGAUGGAGCAACGCCGCGUGAGUGAUGAAGGUUUUCGGAUCGUAAAACUCUGUUGUAAGGGAAGAACCAGUACGUCAGGCAAUGGACGUACCUUGACGGUACCUUAUUAGAAAGCCACGGCUAACUACGUGCCAGCAGCCGCGGUAAUACGUAGGGGGCAAGCGUUAUCCGGAAUUAUUGGGCGUAAAGAGUGCGUAGGUGGUUUUGUAAGCGCGGGGUGAAAGGCUAUGGCUCAACCAUAGUAAGCCUUGCGAACUGUAAGACUUGAGUGCAGGAGAGGAAAGCGGAAUUCCUAGUGUAGCGGUGAAAUGCGUAGAUAUUAGGAGGAACACCAGUGGCGAAGGCGGCUUUCUGGACUGUAACUGACACUGAGGCACGAAAGCGUGGGGAGCAAACA